This 1465-nucleotide ribosomal RNA is filed under the name Escherichia coli. RNAcentral describes it as "bacterial SSU rRNA". It matches the Rfam family "Bacterial small subunit ribosomal RNA". The record is from RNAcentral. Lineage: Bacteria; Pseudomonadati; Pseudomonadota; Gammaproteobacteria; Enterobacterales; Enterobacteriaceae.
CUUUGCUGACGAGUGGCGGACGGGUGAGUAAUGUCUGGGAAACUGCCUGAUGGAGGGGGAUAACUACUGGAAACGGUAGCUAAUACCGCAUAACGUCGCAAGACCAAAGAGGGGGACCUUCGGGCCUCUUGCCAUCGGAUGUGCCCAGAUGGGAUUAGCUUGUUGGUGGGGUAACGGCUCACCAAGGCGACGAUCCCUAGCUGGUCUGAGAGGAUGACCAGCCACACUGGAACUGAGACACGGUCCAGACUCCUACGGGAGGCAGCAGUGGGGAAUAUUGCACAAUGGGCGCAAGCCUGAUGCAGCCAUGCCGCGUGUAUGAAGAAGGCCUUCGGGUUGUAAAGUACUUUCAGCGGGGAGGAAGGGAGUAAAGUUAAUACCUUUGCUCAUUGACGUUACCCGCAGAAGAAGCACCGGCUAACUCCGUGCCAGCAGCCGCGGUAAUACGGAGGGUGCAAGCGUUAAUCGGAAUUACUGGGCGUAAAGCGCACGCAGGCGGUUUGUUAAGUCAGAUGUGAAAUCCCCGGGCUCAACCUGGGAACUGCAUCUGAUACUGGCAAGCUUGAGUCUCGUAGAGGGGGGUAGAAUUCCAGGUGUAGCGGUGAAAUGCGUAGAGAUCUGGAGGAAUACCGGUGGCGAAGGCGGCCCCCUGGACGAAGACUGACGCUCAGGUGCGAAAGCGUGGGGAGCAAACAGGAUUAGAUACCCUGGUAGUCCACGCCGUAAACGAUGUCGACUUGGAGGUUGUGCCCUUGAGGCGUGGCUUCCGGAGCUAACGCGUUAAGUCGACCGCCUGGGGAGUACGGCCGCAAGGUUAAAACUCAAAUGAAUUGACGGGGGCCCGCACAAGCGGUGGAGCAUGUGGUUUAAUUCGAUGCAACGCGAAGAACCUUACCUGGUCUUGACAUCCACAGAACUUUCCAGAGAUGGAUUGGUGCCUUCGGGAACUGUGAGACAGGUGCUGCAUGGCUGUCGUCAGCUCGUGUUGUGAAAUGUUGGGUUAAGUCCCGCAACGAGCGCAACCCUUAUCCUUUGUUGCCAGCGGUCCGGCCGGGAACUCAAAGGAGACUGCCAGUGAUAAACUGGAGGAAGGUGGGGAUGACGUCAAGUCAUCAUGGCCCUUACGACCAGGGCUACACACGUGCUACAAUGGCGCAUACAAAGAGAAGCGACCUCGCGAGAGCAAGCGGACCUCAUAAAGUGCGUCGUAGUCCGGAUUGGAGUCUGCAACUCGACUCCAUGAAGUCGGAAUCGCUAGUAAUCGUGGAUCAGAAUGCCACGGUGAAUACGUUCCCGGGCCUUGUACACACCGCCCGUCACACCAUGGGAGUGGGUUGCAAAAGAAGUAGGUAGCUUAACCUUCGGGAGGGCGCUUACCACUUUGUGAUUCAUGACUGGGGUGAAGUCGUAACAAGGUAACCGUAGGGGAACCUGCGGUUGGAUCACCUCCUUACCUUAAAGAAGC